This 253-nucleotide ribosomal RNA is filed under the name uncultured bacterium. RNAcentral's name for it is "partial 16S ribosomal RNA". It matches the Rfam family "Bacterial small subunit ribosomal RNA", at positions 524 to 776 of the family's 1533-position model. The record is from RNAcentral.
UACGUAGGCAGCGAGCGUUGUUCGGAAUUACUGGGCGUAAAGAGUGUGUAGGCGGUGCUCUAAGUUCGGUGUGAAAUCUCCCGGCUUAACUGGGAGGGUGCGCCGGAAGCUGGAGUGCUCGAGCGUGGGAGAGGAAAGCGGAAUUCCUGGUGUAGCGGUGAAAUGCGUAGAUAUCGUCUGGAACGCCAAAGGUGAAAACAGACUGCUGGGGCUGUGCUGACGCUGAGACACGAAAGCCAGGGGAGCGAACGGG